AUGUAACCGGACCUUACCGGUGCCGUAAAACGCAUCGGUUUGGAAAGGGAGAUAUCAUAUACCCUGUGUUUAUUUACCUUUGUUGCUUUGGCGGGCCGUUCUUCCAGGCGUCGGCCCCGGCUGAUCGCGCCCGCCAGAGGACCCAAACUCUUUUAUCAGUGAUGUCUGAGUACUAUAUAAUAGUUA
RNAcentral lists this unclassified non-coding RNA (186 nucleotides) under uncultured Rhizoscyphus. RNAcentral describes it as "sequence contains ITS1". The record is from RNAcentral. Lineage: Eukaryota; Fungi; Ascomycota; Leotiomycetes; Helotiales; Helotiaceae.